This 497-nucleotide ribosomal RNA is filed under the name uncultured bacterium. RNAcentral describes it as "partial 16S ribosomal RNA". It matches the Rfam family "Bacterial small subunit ribosomal RNA", at positions 28 to 507 of the family's 1533-position model. The record is from RNAcentral.
GAUGAACGCUGGCGGCGUGCCUAAUACAUGCAAGUCGAGCGAACAGACGAGGAGCUUGCUCCUCUGACGUUAGCGGCGGACGGGUGAGUAACACGUGGAUAACCUACCUAUAAGACUGGGAUAACUUCGGGAAACCGGAGCUAUUACCGGAUAAUAUAUUGAACCGCAUGGUUCAAUAGUGAAAGACGGUUUUGCUGUCACUUAUAGAUGGAUCCGCGCCGCAUUAGCUAGUUGGUAAGGUAACGGCUUACCAAGGCAACGAUGCGUAGCCGACCUGAGAGGGUGAUCGGCCACACUGGAACUGGGACACGGUCCAGACUCCUACGGGAGGCAGCAGUAGGGAAUCUUCCGCAAUGGGCGAAAGCCUGACGGAGCAACGCCGCGUGAGUGAUGAAGGUCUUCGGAUCGUAAAACUCUGUUAUUAGGGAAGAACAAAUGUGUAAGUAACUAUGCACGUCUUGACGGUACCUAAUCAGAAAGCCACGGCUAACUACGUG